Procambarus clarkii (red swamp crayfish) is the source of this 2224-nucleotide long non-coding RNA. RefSeq lists it as uncharacterized. NCBI's taxonomy places the organism in Eukaryota, Metazoa, Arthropoda, Malacostraca, Decapoda, Cambaridae. The record is from RefSeq and is a predicted model, not a curated record.
GCCACACUACCCGGUCGGUAGCCCACGGAGGCGGGCCGUCUCUUCUGCGCCAGAUGUCCUCUCGGUAAUUCCAACCUCAGGCGCUCUACCACAGGCGCUUAAUUCGCGAACGCGUGUGUAGAGAGCCUCAAUUAAGUCUGUUUAGAUAACCUACCAAGUGCCGGAAGUCCCUGUACAUUGAGGGUUCCAUAUGUAUGCUGGAAGGGACAUAUACAACAACAGAAGAGUCUGUAUACAGUGCUAGGUGCACCUACGGAUUCCACAGAGGACCAACAGUAACUAUUCUCAAGGCAUAAUAUCACAGGCCUCACACACGGUGCCUACAUCACAGGCCAAAAUCGAAACACAUACUUGCCAGACAUUACUAAACGUUCCCUAUGCAAAGUGCCAGAAAACACCAUUCAUAGUGGCAUUGGUGUCAGAAGACUUCACACAGUGGCAAUAGUGUCUCACGGAACUAACCGCACCAGACUACCUGUAUACAGUACCACAAUAUCACUGUUCUGGGAGUGCCUGUAGGUCCCCAUUCACAGCACUGGCCAAACUUAAAAGAUGCGUUGGUGGGGACGGCAGAGAUUGGCAACAACGGUGGUGGUGAUGGUGGUCGUGUUGGAGAUGGUGGUGAUGGUGGUGGCAGCGGCUGACGUUACCAGCUAUGGACCCGCCGUCAGGGUGGCGGGCCAGGGCGGCGGCGGCGGGCGGGCUCACAGAAGCCUACGCCAGGUGGCAGAAGAUUGUGACUCCAAGACUUGCUGCGGGUACACGGAGGGCAGCGUCGGCUGCCGCUACCAGGGUCAUCGGUGCCGCUGCCCCUUCGUCGUUCCCCGACCCAUCCCCUUCACCCACUUCGGCAGCCUCUUCACCCACCCGAAACGGAAACGCCCCACCACCCAUGAUACCCAGGGCAGGUGCCGAGGUAAAAGGCACAAUGGUGGGUGUGAAGACACUCUAUCCAUACCUGUUAAUUAUUAGGUCCCUUGAAACACCCCCUCCAGGUAAAUCAGGUUACGAUAGACGGUAGGAUUGAGUAACGUGAAAUUAACAUAGGAUUAACGUUACCGUCGUUGAUUCAUUAUUACAUCAACGUCAUUGUCUCGGGAUUGCCCAGGGUGGUCAACGACGCUGAAGGAACGUUCAACCAAUGUUAACAUUGAUGACAUGCUGCUUUGGCGGUGUGUCCACUCACAAGAUGAGUGGCGCUGCCCAAUAAACUCGCCCCUCGGGGCAAAAUUUAAAAAUUUAAUUGAUGCAGCAAUGGUUCAAUAUUAUUUCUCUUGUAAACCCCUGGGCAAACUACAUUCAUUUAAUUGGGAGAGUCCCAGUGGGCACAAUAUCAAAGUGUAAGGUUAAUUCAACGUGACUCUUGGAUAUUAUGCCCACUGGGUAGAGGAGGGGGGUAGAAAUAGUCUAAGCUACUCUAGCUUAUUCUUAGGCUAUAGUAGGUAGAAAUAGCUACUCUAUCCCUUUGAGAUGUAUUUCUUUCUUGUCUCGAUAAACAUACUUGAACAUGAAUUGAACUGGGUAGGUAUUUACCACCAUCAGUGUUGAGGCUGCUCUCCCAACAACCGCUCGUGUAGUGAACAUUGCUUUGCUUGAUAAUGCCAAACUCAUUUAAAGUGAGAUUGAAUGUGUAGUUGGGUUGUUAUAAUUAUUAUUAUUAUUGUUAUUUGUGCUGCGAUUACUACUGGUAUCAUCACACUAUUAGUAAUAUUAUUUUUGUACACAAGUCGCGUUAGUUUUAUUAGGCUGUUGAAAGUAGCGUUUUAGCUUGCAAUGUUCAGUUAUCUGUACCAGUUCGGGUUAUUAUUUCUACUUAAUAUUAUUGUGAUUAUAAUACAAAUAUUUUGGCGAGAACAGUUUCAUGAUUGCUAAAAAAAAAAAAAACUAUAUAAUAUAUAUUUUUUUAAAUAUACCGAUUUUAUUCUGAAAACAUUUGUAAUUCUAGCAGACACUUUUUAACACCUGGAAAUAUUUGAGUGCGUACAUAAGAGAUUUUGCAUACAAUUGAGUUUUUUUUUUAUAAAAGACCGCCAUCCCAUGAAAAUGAUUGUACAGAGUAUCUGCACUUGUUUACAAGUCAUUCCCUCUGUUAACGAUGCGUAGCAAACAACCUGGGGGCGAAUGAAUGAAACUAUCAGGAGAAAGCGCCAAGCCAUUACUACUAUAUAGCUCUGGGAAGGGAUCAGGAUAAGGAUUUGGGAUCGAACGGGAGGAAGGAAUGGUG